GGGUGNNNUANAUGGACUACCAGGGUAUUAAUUGGACUACCCAGGGUAUNUAAUNGACUAACCAGGGUAUCUAAAUUUGAGUUUUGAUCCUGGCUCAGGAUGAACGCUGGCGGCGUGCUUAACACAUGCAAGUCGAACGGGAUCCAUCGGGCUUUGCUUGGUGGUGAGAGUGGCGAACGGGUGAGUAAUGCGUGACCGACCUGCCCCAUGCACCGGAAUAGCUCCUGGAAACGGGUGGUAAUGCCGGAUGUUCCAGUUGAUCGCAUGGUCUUCUGGGAAAGCUUUCGCGGUAUGGGAUGGGGUCGCGUCCUAUCAGCUUGACGGCGGGGUAACGGCCCACCGUGGCUUCGACGGGUAGCCGGCCUGAGAGGGCGACCGGCCACAUUGGGACUGAGAUACGGCCCAGACUCCUACGGGAGGCAGCAGUGGGGAAUAUUGCACAAUGGGCGCAAGCCUGAUGCAGCGACGCCGCGUGAGGGAUGGAGGCCUUCGGGUUGUAAACCUCUUUUAUCGGGGAGCAAGCGUGAGUGAGUUUACCCGUUGAAUAAGCACCGGCUAACUACGUGCCAGCAGCCGCGGUAAUACGUAGGGUGCAAGCGUUAUCCGGAAUUAUUGGGCGUAAAGGGCUCGUAGGCGGUUCGUCGCGUCCGGUGUGAAAGUCCAUCGCUUAACGGUGGAUCCGCGCCGGGUACGGGCGGGCUUGAGUGCGGUAGGGGAGACUGGAAUUCCCGGUGUAACGGUGGAAUGUGUAGAUAUCGGGAAGAACACCAAUGGCGAAGGCAGGUCCUCUGUGGUCCCGUUACUGACGCGUAGGUAG
RNAcentral lists this ribosomal RNA (817 nucleotides) under Bifidobacterium longum. RNAcentral describes it as "bacterial SSU rRNA". It matches the Rfam family "Bacterial small subunit ribosomal RNA", at positions 1 to 753 of the family's 1533-position model. Lineage: Bacteria; Bacillati; Actinomycetota; Actinomycetes; Bifidobacteriales; Bifidobacteriaceae. The record is from RNAcentral.